UGAAUACGAGAUGCUACGGCGUCGAAGCAGUCUAUGUCAUACUUCCAAGAAAAGCUCGCACUGUCAUAAACAAAUAAUGCCUGUACCAUAACCGACACAGGUGGGUAGGUAGAGUAUACUAAGGGGCGCGAGAUAACUCUCUCUAAGGAACUCGGCAAAAUGACUCCGUAACUUCGGGAGAAGGAGUGCCUUAUUUAUAAGGUUGCAAUAACAAGAUCCAAGCAACUGUUUAUCAAAAACACAGGUCUCCGCUAAGUCGUAAGACGAUGUAUAGGGGCUGACGCCUGCCCAGUGCCAGAAGGUUAAAGAAGUUGGUUAGCAUUCGCGAAGCUGAUAACUGAAGCCCUGGUGAACGGCGGCCGUAACGAUAACGGUCCUAAGGUAGCGAAAUUCCUUGUCGGGUAAGUUCCGACCCGCACGAAAGGCGUAAUGAUUUGGAUACUGUCUCGGAGAGGGGCUCGGUGAAAUAGACUUGUCUGUGAAGAUGCGGACUACCUGCACCAGGACAGAAAGACCCUAUGAAGCUUUACUGUAACUUGAGAUUGAAAUUGGACUUUACUUGCGCAGUAUAGGUGGGAGGCGUUGAUAAUAUUCUUGCGGGAUUAUUUGAGCCAUCAGUGAGAUACCACUCUUGUAAUGUUAGAUUUCUAACUUUGUAUCAUUAUCUGGUCAAAGGACAGUUUCAGGCGGGCAGUUUGACUGGGGCGGUCGCCUCCUAAACGGUAACGGAGGCGCACAAAGGUUUCCUCUGAACGGGUAGAAAUCGUAUCUAGAGUGUAAAGGCAUAAGGAAGCUUGACUGUGAGACCUACAAGUCGAGCAGGGACGAAAGUCGGUCUUAGUGAUCUGACGGUGCUGAGUGGAAAGGCCGUCACUCAACGGAUAAAAGUUACUCUAGGAUAACAGGCUGAUCUCCCCCAAGAGUUCACAUCGACGGGGAGGUUUGGCACCUCGAUGUCGGCUCAUCGCAUCCUGGGGCGGUAGUACGUCCCAAGGGUUGGGCUGUUCGCCCAUGAAAGCGGUACGCGAGCUGGGUUCAGAACGUCGUGAGACAGUUCGGUCCAUAUCCGGUGUAGGCGUUAGAAUAUUGAGAGGAGCCUUCUUUAGUACGAGAGGACCGAGAAGGACAUACCUCUGGUGUACCAGUUAUCGUGCCAACGGUAAACGCUGGGUAGCUAUGUAUGGAGUGGAUAACCGCUGAAAGCAUCUAAGUGGGAAGCCCACCUCAAGAUAAG
Molecule: ribosomal RNA, 1234 nt
Filed under: metagenome
Description: bacterial LSU rRNA
Rfam family: Bacterial large subunit ribosomal RNA
Source: RNAcentral